UGCCGUUAGCGACAGGACGAGCGGGACCUUUCUCCGAGGGGCCCCCCCCCGACCUCCUCCCUCCAGACCUGCUCGGACCAAUUUAAAGCCGACAGCCGGAUAAAAACUAGGAUAUAAAAAUCCAACGGGGUAAAAAAUCCGGAGAGUUAUUUAUGGGUCGCGUUGCUGCGCCGUCCUUUAUUCUCUUUGUCUAAUUGGCACGCCGCUGGCCGCUUUCUCUGGGAAACUGGCGGCGGGGGGCCCGUUCCUGCAAGCGGCCCCGGGGUCUCCAGAGGGUGCUGAGGGAUGAGGGUCUCCAUGAGGCCCCCAUAAAGAGCCCAGCCCCACUCUGCUGGAUCCCCCUCACGGCUCCAGAUACAGGAUCCUCAGAGGGCACUUAUCACCUGUAAUGAACAGCCCCGUCCUCCUCCGUCCACCCCUCCCCCUCUGUCACCUGACCCCUCCACCCACUCCUGCCCCUCCCUUAGUGGCUUUACAUCCAUUCACUGUAUGUUACAUACUGUGCAUGCGCCUUCAGGACAUGAAUGGAGGUCAGUGGAACAUUCCUUUAUGUUUGUGUCCGUGGGGUCACAUGAGACCUGAGUGUUGUUCUUCUUCUUUGGUUACAAUUGUGAGCGUGUUGUUGCAAAUAAAAGCAGUUAAAAUUAAGUAACUAACUAACUACAAAGUAUAAUAUAGACACAUUUUGUGAAUUAAAAAAGGCAACACUGAUCCGAUACAAGACAGGAUGUAACAAACUGGGGACUUUAUUUUCAAAAUAAAAGUUGAUGCACACCCUCCACUACAGUAGAAGGUUAGUUGCUCUCUAUAAAUACUACCAUGCUAUAACUAGAUCACACUUCAGUGUGUUAUAUUCUGCAGAACGAGAACUUUUGAUGCUUCAAGCACAUGUGACCAAUAACUUUUAUGUACUUUCACUUAAAUGCAAAAGUAAUUCCCCACCGUGGCACCGCUUCUUCUACUGCAGUAAAGGAUGGAAAUACUUCCUCCUCCUCCCGAUCGCCGGGCCUUUUCCCCCAGAACGGCUCCGGUGUUUUCUUUGGCUCCGGUUCGCUCGCAUCAACCCUAACCCGCAAAAGGGAAAUCAAUCACCGCGGACCCCGGCUCAACCUUCCUCGAUACGAACUAAUUUGAUUUCUGAGUUAUAAGGCAAUAAAUAACUGCCAUAAAAACAACACUCUGAGCCCUUUUCUCUUCCACCCUUUCAGCUCGGGACAGAACACGUAUUGUGCCGGGCCUCUAAUUGACUGCAGGUUUGUUUCGGGCCGUCCGGUCGCAUUCCGGCGCAUUUGAUUCCGUAAUGAAAGUGGGGGCCGUGGUGGAGGGGUGGGGGGGGGGGGGGUUUUCUUAACGCGUGAGGUGCAUCAGCCGCACGGCGUGUUCCUUAUUAUUUUUAUUCUCGCCAGCAGCUCUCAAGUGCUUGGGCGGAGUAGAUCAAGACGAGGGUGGGGUUCUCUUUCUCGGGGGUGGGGGGGCGGUGGGGGGGGGGGGGUCCCCAGGGGUCACUUCAGGAUGUGUAACCUGAUGUAAUUGCAGGCAUUAAGUGCAGUGAGGCCCCGGACAAUCUCCCCCUUUGUGAGUGAAUUAAAGAAUAUUAGCUGCAGCGGCGUUAGCGGCUGCUAAUGGACAGAAAAUGGAUUGGUGUGCAGUUUGGGAGGAGGUGGGGGGGGAGGGAGGGGGGUCAUUAGAAUACAAAGCCGGUGUUAAAAGGGGGCUCGUCGCCGGCUUGGAUAUACGGUGAACUCUGCAGCUCGGGCCGUAAAUCAUCUGAGAGUUGUGGAAGCUCUCUCUCUCUGCACUCUCUGCUCGGGAGGAGGAGGAGGUGGAGGAGGUGGAGGAGGAAGAGGAGGAAGAGGAGGGGAAACGGUCUCACCAUGCUGGCAACCACUCCUGUUUCCUCUCUCCGUUUCGGGGCGUCCACGCGUCCGUAAUCCGCCCGGCCACCCACAGACUGCGCUCCCCGCUUCCUGUUAUUACCGCGGGAUUAAGGGCAGAAAUGACCACAAUUUGGGCAAAACCUCGUCUGCAGAGGAAAUUAUGGAAGAUCGUAACCGCCAAGAAGAAAAGACUGAAAGUCCAAUAUUCUUUUACAAAUUACAAUAUUGGUUUAAAUUUUUUUUGUUACAGCACAAAGAAGUACCGCCAUCAAAAUAUAGUUUAAGUAUCAAAUGUUAAAAGAGGAUUUAUGUACUGUGUUUAAUCUACAAUGAUACAUCUAUAUUUAAUUUUUACUUUUAAUCAAAUCUAAUACGUUCCAUUUCUACUCUUACUACUACUCUUCUUCUACCAUACUUAUUGCAUUUAGUCAAUAGUUUAUUUUGUACUACAAGUAUUUACACAUACCUUACACACACAUUUCAGAAUUAUGAUUCCUGACCAGAAUAGGGAGUCAAAUCAAUAAAUGUUAAACAUGUAAAGCUACGGUAUCAAAGUGGAACUUUGCUGUUAUUUUUUAAAUAUUUUUUGCUGUUAUUUUAUUUUUCUAUUCGGAAUUCUUUUAACUGUGUAAAUUAUUGUGAAUUAACUGUGUAAUAUUACAUACAGAAAACCAGGUCACUGGUCGUAUUUUUAAUCUCGUACAUCUAGUGGUGUUUAUUUAUUGAUAUUCUUUUUUUUUAAUAUUCAUCGUAACCUGUGCUUCCGUAUCGAUUUCUACUCUGACAACUUAUUGCUGUUGUGCAUAACUUUUCAUUCACUUUUUUUUCCACCAGCGGUCCUCCCUACGCCGAUGAAUUCGCCAAAUGUUUUUCUUUCCUCUCCGGCUCGAGUCCUCCGUUUCCCUCCAGCAGCCCGGAUCGGUAAUGACUGCGACUUUGAUGAGAUAAUAACCCGGGAGUGAACGAGGAGGCGGGGCUUAGCGUCUCCCGGCAGUUGAAGGUUAUUCAGUCUUUUUUUUCCCCCUUCCCUCUUAAUGGGGAAUCCAGAGAGAGGCCUCGCUGGCAGGGUCUGGCUGCAGUGGAUGUAACCUCCCCCCUCCCCCCCUCUUCUACCCUCCCAUCCCACCGCAAGCCUCCAUCACAACUCACGUUAAGCAGCUCGAGUCCACACAUGCAAGAAGAGCAGGAAUCUCUCGACUUCCAGCUGUAAAACGUGUCUCUGGGAUCCCCGUGGUUGUCGGGUUCCCCGUGGCGAGCUGACGGGACGUCGCCAUGUGGAAGUAUCACACAUCCUUCUCUCACUUGUUGGCUACGAGCCGCUGGAAGAAGAAUUUAAACAUGUAAACACCAGAAAAUCCGCAGUUGUCUUGGACACUUUUGUGACAGGCGGUGAAGUAUUAUCACGAUAUCGCUUCCUCUCUCUGCACAUUUCACUCACUCAAUUUUUUGGGUGAACUUUUCACUGAAAAGAACCGCACAGCUCUUCAUCUUAAAAAACACCAUAUUUAUUGUUCACGUUCUGAACAACAUUCACUUCCACAAGAGGGGAUUAGACCUUUCUAAUUUUCUGGGACCGAUUCCUCUGAAUGAAGGAAUAAGGAGAGAAGAUACUGAGAGACGGGUUUGGUCGAGGGGGGGGCCGGUCUACACGGUGAGGAAACUGCUGGCGGUACGUAAGCGGGGACGGGGCAGGCAGUUCCUCGUGGACUGGGAGGGCUACGGCCCAGAGGAACGACAAUGGGUCU
Long non-coding RNA from Gasterosteus aculeatus aculeatus (three-spined stickleback), 3622 nucleotides. The record is from Ensembl. Lineage: Eukaryota; Metazoa; Chordata; Actinopteri; Perciformes; Gasterosteidae.